Molecule: small nucleolar RNA, 66 nt
Organism: Rana temporaria (common frog)
Lineage: Eukaryota; Metazoa; Chordata; Amphibia; Anura; Ranidae
Product: small nucleolar RNA SNORD58
Exons: 1
Source: RefSeq, a predicted model, not a curated record
UGGCGAUGAUGACACUUAGGACACCUUUGAAAUCAAAACAUGAAACUAACUUUAUAUCUGAGCUAC